AACGAACGCUGGCAGCGUGGAUUAGGCAUGCAAGUCGGACGGGAUCGGCCGGAUAGCAAUAUUCGGCCGUGAGAGUGGCGGAUUGGGGAGGAGCACGUGAGCAACCUGCCCUGGAGAUGUGGAAAACCUCUGGAAACGGAGGCUAAUACAGAAUGUGGCGCCCGACGGCAUCGUCGGAGCGCCGAAGGGGGCCGCAAGGCUCCCGCUCCGGGAUGGGCUCGCGCACCAUCAGCUAGUUGGCGGGGUAACGGCCCACCAAGGCCUACGGUUAGCUGGUCUGAGAGGAUGACCAGCCCCACUGGGACUGAGAUACUGCCCAGACUCCUACGGGAGGCUGCAGUCGAGGAUCAUUCGCAAUGGGCGAAAGCCUGACGAUGCGACGCUGCGUUGGAGGACGAAGGCCUUCGGGUCGUAAACUCCUGUCAUGGGGGAAGAGGCGAGGGAAGCGAACACCUUCCUUAGUUGACUGUACCCCAAGAGGAAGCGACGGCUAACUCUGUGCCAGCAGCCGC
This 512-nucleotide ribosomal RNA is filed under the name uncultured bacterium. RNAcentral describes it as "bacterial SSU rRNA". It matches the Rfam family "Bacterial small subunit ribosomal RNA", at positions 28 to 518 of the family's 1533-position model. The record is from RNAcentral.